CUGCUAAUACCGCAUACGAUCUAACCUUGGCAUCGAGGAUGGAUGAAAGGUGGCCUCUAUUUAUAAGCUAUCACUGAAGGAGGGGAUUGCGUCUGAUUAGCUAGUUGGAGGGGUAACGGGCCCACCAAGGCGAUGAUCAGUAGCCGGUCUGAGAGGAUGAACGGCCACAUUGGGACUGAGACACGGCCCAGACUCCUACGGGAGGCAGCAUG
RNAcentral lists this ribosomal RNA (212 nucleotides) under uncultured bacterium. RNAcentral describes it as "partial 16S ribosomal RNA". It matches the Rfam family "Bacterial small subunit ribosomal RNA", at positions 160 to 353 of the family's 1533-position model. The record is from RNAcentral.